UACGAGAGGCCCAAACGUUAUUCGGAAUUACUGGGCUUAGAGAGUUCGUAGGCGGCGCGGAAAGUAGGGUGUGAAAUCCCUCGGCUCAACCGAGGAAUUGCGCCCUAAACUGCCGUGCUUGAGGAAGCUAGAGGUGAGCGGAACUGAUGGUGGAGCGGUGAAAUGCGUUGAUAUCAUCAGGAACACCGGAGGCGAAGGCGGCUCACUGGGGCCUUUCUGACGCUGAGGAACGAAAGCCAGGGUAGCGAACGGG
RNAcentral lists this ribosomal RNA (253 nucleotides) under uncultured bacterium. Its description in RNAcentral is "partial 16S ribosomal RNA". It matches the Rfam family "Bacterial small subunit ribosomal RNA", at positions 524 to 776 of the family's 1533-position model. The record is from RNAcentral.